CCUACGGGAGGCAGCAGUGGGGAAUAUUGGGCAAUGGAGGCAACUCUGACCCAGCAACGCCGCGUGAGCGAUGAAGGUCUUCGGAUUGUAAAGCUCUGUCGCAGGGGACGAAGUAUGACGGUACCCUGUAAGAAAGCCCCGGCAAACUACGUGCCAGCAGCCGCGGUAAUACGUAGGGGGCUAGCGUUGUCCGGAAUUACUGGGCGUAAAGGGAGUGUAGACGGCUUGUCAAGUUAAGUGUGAAAGCCUGCGGCUUAACCGCAGAAUUGCACUUAAAACUGACUCGCUAGAGUGCAGGAGAGGUGAGUGGAAUUCCUAGUGUAGCGGUGGAAUGCGUAGAUAUUAGGAGGAACACCAGAGGCGAAGGCGGCUCACUGGACUGUAACUGACGUUGAGGCUCGAAAGCGUGGGGAGCAAACAGGAUUAGAUACCCCUGUAGUC
This 441-nucleotide ribosomal RNA is filed under the name uncultured bacterium. Its description in RNAcentral is "partial 16S ribosomal RNA". It matches the Rfam family "Bacterial small subunit ribosomal RNA", at positions 338 to 795 of the family's 1533-position model. The record is from RNAcentral.